RNAcentral lists this transfer RNA (79 nucleotides) under Deltaproteobacteria bacterium. RNAcentral describes it as "tRNA-Asp". It matches the Rfam family "tRNA". From Rfam's summary of the family: Transfer RNA (tRNA) molecules are approximately 80 nucleotides in length. Their secondary structure includes four short double-helical elements and three loops (D, anti-codon, and T loops). The record is from RNAcentral. Lineage: Bacteria; Pseudomonadati; Myxococcota; Myxococcia.
GGGGACGUAGUGCAGUUUGGCCUAACACGCUAGCUUGUCACGCUAGAGACCGCGGGUUCGACUCCCGUCGUCCCCGCCA